Molecule: unclassified non-coding RNA, 352 nt
Filed under: soil metagenome
Description: partial contains 5.8S ribosomal RNA, internal transcribed spacer 2, and large subunit ribosomal RNA
Rfam family: 5.8S ribosomal RNA (bases 1-120)
Source: RNAcentral
GAUGAAAAACGCAGCGAAAUGCGAUAAGUAAUGUGAAUUGCAGAAUUCAGUGAAUCAUCGAAUCUUUGAACGCACAUUGCGCCCGCCAGUAUUCUGGCGGGCAUGCCUGUUCGAGCGUCAUUACAACCCUCAGGCCCCCGGGCCUGGCGUUGGGGAUCGGCGGGGCCCCCCGUGGGCACACGCCGUCCCCCAAAUACAGUGGCGGUCCCGCCGCAGCUUCCAUCGCGUAGUAGCUAACACCUCGCGACUGGAGAGCGGCGCGGCCACGCCGUAAAACACCCAACUCUUCUGAAGUUGACCUCGAAUCAGGUAGGAAUACCCGCUGAACUUAAGCAUAUCAAUAAGCGGAGGA